Molecule: long non-coding RNA, 2187 nt
Organism: Vidua chalybeata
Lineage: Eukaryota; Metazoa; Chordata; Aves; Passeriformes; Viduidae
Exons: 2
Source: RefSeq, a predicted model, not a curated record
AAUGCCAACAUUUUGUUUCAUAGCAAAUAUUGUCAUCUGAAAAUAUACCUGACUGAGGUUAACAUGCUUACACCAUGAUUUUGCAAUAGCAGGUAUGAGAUUUUCUGUAAAUAAAUCCAUCAAAAAGUAAAAAGGGAAGGAAUUGUUCUGAAUCAAAUGAUUAUACCUGUAGAGCUUGUAACAAGGAGAUAUCUUACUGAUCUUUAAGAAACAUGAAGCAGUAAGAUAAGAAGCAAUGACAGGAAUAUUUUUUUUAUUUGAGUCUUCUUCUAUAACCAGAUUCUUAUUUAUUUUACUGAAAUCAGAAAAGUAUUCCGAUCUGCAAGAACUUGAGUGGGGGAGAUGUAUGUCAGAAGAAAAGAUAAUUGAUGGUAAACGUCAAAUAUUAAAUCUUGAUCUGGUUAUUACCCAGCAUAUUAGCUAUGUAAGAAGCUUAACAAUUACAGCUAUGAUUGACUAGGUGGGAUCCAAAAUUCUAAAUAUCAACUGCCAGAAGGGAUAAUUAUAACACAUUAGCACCUGCGUGCUUAGACAAGAUUGACAACUCCAGUCUAACAUCUGCUUAAUAUCACUUUCAUACUUUUCAUAUUUUUUUUCUUUUCGAAAGGAAUAACAAAGAUUUUCUUGAAGCAUAACAAUAAUUCAGCAUCCAUGUUACACAUUCAGUUGAUUAUAGUUGCUUGUUGUCUUUGGUCAUGUUUUGCACUGACACGUUUAAAAUUAAACAAAGCCUUUUUGGGAUUAGACAGCCACAGUUGUGGUAUAUUUUAGACAAAAUGUACCUGUCAGAAUCAUUUGAAGAAAUCCCAACAAGGGGGCUGCUCUUCAAUCAUCUGGGGUGGCCAAUGCAAUUUAACAACAAAAUGAAAUUGGGCUGGAAAAGAAAGGCCUCGCUUUCCCACAACAGGAGCAAGAGAGAGAAGGGAAUUUAGCAUUCAGUAUGAACAGCUCCGUGAAGGUGCCCUGCUGGGCUCUUUGCGGGGGCAAGGUGAAGCGUUCCCCUCCCGGCACAAGCCCUGGCUGUGCCCGCCCUGGGGCCCGCGCUGUGAGCUGGAGGCGCCUCUGCCUCCGGGCCUGCCCUGGGGCCUGCCUGGCUCCGCGCCCUCCGGCAGCUCCCUCAGCUCCUCCGCCCAAACCAGCCCAGAACUGGGCUGCCGGCGGGCCCUGCCAGGCCCCAGGAAUUGCAGGGUGCCAGGACCCCCUUCAAGGUUGCUCCAGUUUUGGGGGACCCCUCCCAGUGAAACUCUCCAGCAUAUUCUGCCCAAAGGCAGGUGUUGCUUUCCUCGCGUUUGCUCCGCAGUGCAUUUACUCGAGCAGUAACACCAGCUGCCCCGGUUCUGCAAUGCACAAACUUUCCUGAGUGGGAGCUGGCCUCAUAGAAGAGGGAGUGGUGAUAAUGGUCCCAUGAGGGCACAGAUGUGACUAAGCACAGACAGCUUAGUCACCCUUCUGUCCUGGGCAGAGAGAUAUUCCUCAGCUGGCAGUCUAAAGACCCCUCCUGACCCUGUGUGUUUCUGUGCUGGGAAUCUCAGCAGCAGAGGCUGCUCUUGGACUCGUUGGGAAUUUAAUGGAGAUUUUCAUUGAAACAGGCAGAAAUUUCUCAUGGAAAAAUAUAUAAGUGUUCAAAGGAAUACACUUAGUAAAAAUUUAUUGAAAAGGGGCAAAAAUCUCAUUCCCCGUGGGCUUAGCUUUAUGGUAGCAGAGCACUGACUAAUUUUAUAUUAAAUCCUUCACUGCCUUGAGUGAGCUGUGAAGCUUUAAGCCCACAUAACUCUCUGCCCAUUUCUUGAGGUACAAUCCAAGGUUGUUUUUUAAGUCUAGAAAGGGUAGUUCAAGUAUACACUGCUCAGACCUGAUGCCAUGGAAGACUAACUCACCCAGCAGUGCCAGCCAAACUACAUAAAGAGGCAGAAGAGUCUUCUCAGGGUGCAGCUGCAGAGUAUUUGGGCAAGCUCUGUUGACAAAAUAAAUCCUUUUGCUGCAACAACCACCUCUUAACAUCUUAGGGCCUGUGUAAUAAAUACAGGAAAGGGACUUCAGCUUGAAGCCAGCUAAAUUGUAACUUUUUAUUUUGACCAACUGGAGUAUGAGUUGAUAUAUGCAACUACUGAAGCUUAUGAAGGACAACACCAUUCAGCUUCAUCAUCAAUCAACCAUGGUGUAAUAAAUGCUUUCAUUUACUGAUCA